AUUGAACGCUGGCGGCAUGCUUUACACAUGCAAGUCGAACGCGAAAGGGGGCAACCCUGAGUAGAGUGGCGCACGGGUGAGUAAUGCAACGGAACCUGUCCUGUAGCGGGGGAUAACCUAGCGAAAGCUAGGCUAAUACCGCAUUCGCCCUGAGGGGGAAGGAGGGGGAUCGCAAGACCUCCCCAUAAGGGAGGUGCCGAUGCCGGAGUAGCUAGUUGGUGGGAUAAAAGCUCACCAAGGCGACGACCCGUGGCUGGUGUGAGAGGAUGAUCAGCCACACUGGGACUGAGACACGGCCCAGACUCCUACGGGAGGAAGCAGUGGGGAAGUUUGGACAAUGGGGGCAACCCUGAUCCAGCCAUGCCGCGUGAGUGAAGAAGGCCUUCGGGUUGUAAAGCUCUUUCGGCCGGGACGAAAUCGCAUGGGUGAAUAUCCUGUGUGGAUGACGGUACCGGAAUAAGAAGCACCGGCUAACUACGUGCCAGCCGCCGCGGUAA
RNAcentral lists this ribosomal RNA (497 nucleotides) under uncultured bacterium. RNAcentral's name for it is "partial 16S ribosomal RNA". It matches the Rfam family "Bacterial small subunit ribosomal RNA", at positions 29 to 523 of the family's 1533-position model. The record is from RNAcentral.